CGUGCACAGGUAGACAUGGACACAGAUCACUCGAUGACAGCGGAAACCGUCUGUGAAAAUGCUCGAGUUAGGAAUCGUGGCAGCAGCCGCGAGCCAAUUGACCUCCAUGCACGUGUCUCUUCAAGGCGUACAAAUCGUAGAAAGUACUGCGCAUACGAAGUUACCGGCACUACGCGCACUCUGUAAACAUCGCGGAUCGCUUGGAAGAUGAGGAACGCGCGGGAGCGCUCUUUCGCCGCGUCGCAGACCGCUUUCAAGACACACGAGCGCCGGCAACGCGUCCCUACGGCGUCCGCCAAAGGCGUCUACUACGGCGUCCGCGAUUCGCGUGGCCAACGCCGUAGUAGACGCCGCGGUUGUCUUCCCUCUGUACGGAGCGGCGGGCGAGGAGGACAUAGAGGCGACGAGUAGGUCGGACGUUGGUCGGACGUGCUCCGAUCGGCUCCUGCUUUUUCUCGAUCUGUUGGAGGUUUAUAAAGUGGUUUCUCGUGAACUUUUGAGUGCAUCGCUUCAGUGGAGACUGCCGAACACGUGGAUACCUUUUUUGGAAAUACAUCGUGCCAACGCCUUAUGGCAGCACUGUAAAUGGCUUUGGCGACAAGAAUGCAGACCUGGACAUUACUCUGCUAUUUCUAAAGGCGAAAGUUAAAGUUGAUUCAGGCAAGUUCCUCGCCAAAGUAGCAGACAUGCUGAAAAAGUCCGGUUUUUGCACUGCUGGAAGUGUCAAUAUCGUACCGGCGCGAGUUCCUCUACUAGAACUGACGCACAGCAGUGCAAUUCCAGUAGACGUGACUGUCAACAGAGCCUCAGCAGUUGAUAGCUCACAUUAUUUAAAAUACUACAGCAACCUUGAUGAACGAGUUGCUCCCCUGGUACUCUUCGUAAAAAGAUGGGCUGAAAGGUCUGGAAUAAGAGGAGCAAGAAAAGGAGGCCUGUCAUCAGUCACAUUGUGUGUCAUGGUGAUAUCACAUUUACAAGGUAAGGGACCUUUUAAACAAGUGCAUUUGAAAUGCAUGCCCAGCUUGCUAUAGUUACGCCCUGAAAUACUUUAUCUGAAGUCUAUUUGUUUUGCGGCAUCUACUUGCCUUUAAUAGCGUUUCAGAUUAGUUUGCAGGGAAUAGGUGUGAUGUAUUUCCUUUCCCGUCACCGGAAUAGACGCAUUCUUUGUCUGGUCGCCGACUCGAGCAGCCCGGAUCUUACUUUUGUGGCGCUUCAUGCCAGGCCGUCAGGCCUCACUGCAUAGGUCCCGCGUCCGGCCGCCCCGUCAAAGCUACUACAAACUGGCGACGAGGGUGGGACCUACGGCGUGAGGCCUGAUGGCCUGGCGCGAAGCGACGCAACAGAAGAGCCGGACUCCUCGAGUCGGGGCCAGACAA
This 1376-nucleotide long non-coding RNA is filed under the name Dermacentor andersoni. Its description in RNAcentral is "uncharacterized LOC126527778". The record is from RNAcentral. Lineage: Eukaryota; Metazoa; Arthropoda; Arachnida; Ixodida; Ixodidae.